RNAcentral lists this long non-coding RNA (234 nucleotides) under Elaeis guineensis (African oil palm). Its description in RNAcentral is "long non-coding RNA (EGUI_LNC006805)". Lineage: Eukaryota; Viridiplantae; Streptophyta; Magnoliopsida; Arecales; Arecaceae. The record is from RNAcentral.
CGGGAUUUGUGAAUUCCAAGCCGCGUGCUGAGAAAGCAUUCCAUGCAUGACUUAUAAUUUAUGUAAGCAUAAGAUCAAAACUUAUUCGAAUAGAUUUGGUUGGGUAUUGGAAAUCGUCAUUUUGUCUGACCUUCAAUGUUAACCAAUUCUAUGGUGUUUUCAUUAUUUCCAGUCCAAAUUAUUACCAAGUCAAUUGCUUGUUUUGGACGUUCACGCCAUAUGCACAUAGAAGGA